This 316-nucleotide ribosomal RNA is filed under the name uncultured Bulleidia sp. Its description in RNAcentral is "partial 16S ribosomal RNA". Lineage: Bacteria; Bacillati; Bacillota; Erysipelotrichia; Erysipelotrichales; Erysipelotrichaceae. The record is from RNAcentral.
GGAGUCUGGGCCGUGUCUCAGUCCCAAUGUGGCCGUUCACCCUCUCAGGCCGGCUAUGCAUCAUCGCCUUGGUGGGCCGUUACCUCACCAACUAGCUAAUGCACCGUAAGCCCAUCUACUUGUGUUUCAAACCUUUAAUAAUAAGAAGAUGCCUUCUCAUUACCUAUCCGGUAUUAGCGCCCGUUUCCAGGUGUUAUCCCAGUCCGUGUAGGCAGGUUGCUUACGUAUUACUCACCCGUUCGCCUCUCCUUCACUCAAGCAAGCUUGAGCUCCAGCGAUCGACUUGCAUGUAUUAGGCACGCCGCCAGCGUUUAUC